Molecule: ribosomal RNA, 423 nt
Filed under: Bacillus cereus
Lineage: Bacteria; Bacillati; Bacillota; Bacilli; Caryophanales; Bacillaceae
Description: bacterial SSU rRNA
Rfam family: Bacterial small subunit ribosomal RNA
Source: RNAcentral
AAGAACCUUACCAGGUCUUGACAUCCUCUGACAACCCUAGAGAUAGGGCUUCUCCUUCGGGAGCAGAGUGACAGGUGGUGCAUGGUUGUCGUCAGCUCGUGUCGUGAGAUGUUGGGUUAAGUCCCGCAACGAGCGCAACCCUUGAUCUUAGUUGCCAUCAUUUAGUUGGGCACUCUAAGGUGACUGCCGGUGACAAACCGGAGGAAGGUGGGGAUGACGUCAAAUCAUCAUGCCCCUUAUGACCUGGGCUACACACGUGCUACAAUGGACGGUACAAAGAGCUGCAAGACCGCGAGGUGGAGCUAAUCUCAUAAAACCGUUCUCAGUUCGGAUUGUAGGCUGCAACUCGCCUACAUGAAGCUGGAAUCGCUAGUAAUCGCGGAUCAGCAUGCCGCGGUGAAUACGUUCCCGGGCCUUGUACAC